This 72-nucleotide transfer RNA is filed under the name Iphisa elegans. Its description in RNAcentral is "tRNA-Ser". It matches the Rfam family "tRNA". Rfam says of the family: Transfer RNA (tRNA) molecules are approximately 80 nucleotides in length. Their secondary structure includes four short double-helical elements and three loops (D, anti-codon, and T loops). Further hydrogen bonds mediate the characteristic L-shaped molecular structure. tRNAs have two regions of fundamental functional importance: the anti-codon, which is responsible for specific mRNA codon recognition, and the 3' end, to which the tRNAs corresponding amino acid is attached (by aminoacyl-tRNA synthetases). tRNAs cope with the degeneracy of the genetic code in two manners: having more than one tRNA (with a specific anti-codon) for a particular amino acid; and 'wobble' base-pairing, i.e. permitting non-standard base-pairing at the 3rd anti-codon position. Lineage: Eukaryota; Metazoa; Chordata; Lepidosauria; Squamata; Gymnophthalmidae. The record is from RNAcentral.
AAUAGAGAAGUACGGCUGGUAGUAUAACUGACUUGAAAUCAGUAGUCGAAGGUUCAACUCCUUCCUCUUUUG